This 583-nucleotide ribosomal RNA is filed under the name uncultured bacterium. Its description in RNAcentral is "partial 16S ribosomal RNA". It matches the Rfam family "Bacterial small subunit ribosomal RNA", at positions 338 to 916 of the family's 1533-position model. The record is from RNAcentral.
CCUACGGGAGGCAGCAGUCGGGAAUUUUGGGCAAUGGGCGCAAGCCUGACCCAGCAACGCCGCGUGAAGGAUGAAAUCCCUCGGGAUGUAAACUUCGCAAGAACGGGAAGAAUAAGUAGGGGACAAUACCCCCUAUGAUGACGGUACCGUUUGUAAGCUCCGGCUAACUCCGUGCCAGCAGCCGCGGUAAUACGGGGGGAGCAAGCGUUGUUCGGAUUUACUGGGCGUAAAGGGCGCGCAGGCGGCUGUUUUUGUCAGGCGUGAAAGCCCCGGGCCUAACCUGGGAACUGCGCUUGAGACGGGAUGGCUAGAGAUCGGGAGAGGAGAGUGGAAUUCCCAGUGUAGAGGUGAAAUUCGUAGAUAUUGGGAAGAACACCGGUGGCGAAGGCGGCUCUCUGGACCGAUACUGACGCUGAGGCGCGAAAGCGUGGGGAGCAAACAGGAUUAGAUACCCUGGUAGUCCACGCUGUAAACGAUGUGUGCUAGACGUUGGGGAGCCUAGCUCUUCGGUGUCGCAGCUAACGCUUUAAGCACACCGCCUGGGGAGUACGGCCGCAAGGUUAAAACUCAAAGGAAUUGACGG